AACGAACGCUGGCGGCAUGCCUAACACAUGCAAGUCGAACGAGAUCCUUCGGGGUCUAGUGGCGCCCGGGUGCGUACCGCGUGGGAAUCUGCCCUUAGGUUCGCAAUAACAGUUAGAAAUGCCUGCUAAUACCGGAUGAUGACGUUAAGUCCAAAGAUUUAUCGCCGGAGGAUGAGCACGCGUAGGGUUAGCUAGUUGGUGUGGUAAAGGCGCACCAAGGCGACGAUCCUUAGCUGGUCUGAGAGGCAGAUCAGCCACACUGGGACUGAGACACGGCCCAGACUCCUACGGGAGGCAGCAGUGGGGAAUAUUGGACAAUGGGCGCAAGCCUGAUCCAGCAAUGCCGCGUGAGUGAUGAAGGCCUUAGGGUUGUAAAGCUCUUUUACCCGGGAGGAUAAUGACGGUACCGGGAGAAUAAGCCCCGGCUAACUCCGUG
This 436-nucleotide ribosomal RNA is filed under the name uncultured bacterium. RNAcentral describes it as "partial 16S ribosomal RNA". It matches the Rfam family "Bacterial small subunit ribosomal RNA", at positions 29 to 507 of the family's 1533-position model. The record is from RNAcentral.